Molecule: RNA transcript, 4354 nt
Organism: Brassica rapa (field mustard)
Lineage: Eukaryota; Viridiplantae; Streptophyta; Magnoliopsida; Brassicales; Brassicaceae
Gene name: eukaryotic translation initiation factor 2 subunit alpha homolog
Source: RefSeq, a predicted model, not a curated record
UUUAUUACAACAAUCCAUUAAGACAUUAAAAAGUUGAUGGCUUGGCACCACAGAGAUAACUAAUCAUUAGAUGAUAUAUCAUCAAUGAAGGAGCUAGUAGCUACGGAGAAGAAGAAGAAGAUACAAAAGGCGAUACCUUUUGUGGUUGAGUGUUGUGAGAGUCAUUGGUAUCCACUCGAGGCCCGUGCCUUGUCCGGGGCCUUACCAAAAUUAGUUCCGGGCAGGACGCGAAGACACGUGUGAUAGGGUUAGCUACCCUCGACCGUGUAGCUGCAUGACGAUGCGGCAAGUGUGUUAUCCGGGUCAUCGGCUUUUUAGACUUUGUGUUUAGGGUCAAUGGGCGCAAGAAGGGAUGUGUUAUGGACUUCGUAUCGAGAUAGGAACCAAUGGCGAGAGGCAGUCCUCGAUGAUCGAUAAUGAUCUAACCACUCGUGAAGAGUGGAUGCUUGUUUACAUGAUUGCUUUAUUUUUGCAUUGCAUAUUUCUUAAUAUAAUUGAUCCUUGUUGCUUAAUGUUUGAUGCAUAAUGGGGGGAUAAAUAAUUGUUAAGAAACCCGACUCACUGAGCAAAAUAGUUGCUCAUUAGACUCUUUGUUUUGCAGGUAACCCGUAGUAGUAGGUUCCAUUUGGGAUCGGAGGAGCACAAAGCUGUUGGUGUAGAUUUGCUACCUUUUGCAAACAUGUACGUUUUGUAAUAUGUAAGAUAUGGUUUUGAACAUCCGCCGAGCAUGUAUAAAUUUUCGAUGUGGUUGAACUUAAAGUAUAUAUGAAUAAAAAAAGGGGGGGAGGGGUUUGUAAAAUGCUUGGAUUCCAUAUGAUACUAGUCCUAGUCCGGGACGAACUAACUAACGGUUUAAAACUCGGGUUGCAAAGCCUUAACUUGGAAUCGCUAGGAAACCCGUUCUUGGACAUAUGAUCUUAGGAUUUCGGAUCUGAUCUGGGAACCUCAGAUCAAAAGUUCGGGCACGUGGUAGUAGUAUCUUCGAUCUGGUUAGAGUUCUUUAGUUCGUCGUGCAUAUUCUUGUUUGAUUGGUGCAUGGCAAACUAAUUAACUUUUAUUUAGUCCGGAUCAGGAGUGUUACAGACUAGGUUGUAGAAAAUAGAUUCUACUGUCCAGAACAUCCUUGUGUAUGUAUCCAGUAUAUAAAGAGUAUCCAUGCGCCGCCAUUUUUAACAAAAUGAACUUUAUAAUGAACCGUCCGACCACUACCAUUACUAGAGAGAGCGCAACCAGCCAGUUGAACAGCCUGUUAUUGUAUUCUUUGAUGAACCAUGACCGUGCCUUCCACAUCAUCUUCACACUUUGUAUAUUGCGCCUCACAGAGCUUUGACGAUUGGUUGUUUUUAUGUAUAUAUCGAGAAAUAUUUUAAAUAUAUUAAAAAUGACUAAUUCAACUUUUUUAUCUAUAAAAAAAAUCUAAAUUUUUGAAAAAGAGUUUUGGUCAAAUUAGAUUUCUUUUAUAACAGAAUUUUAGAAGGUACAUAGCUUAAAUUAGAUAUGUUUCAAUUUUUUAUUCAUUUAUAAAUAUACUUCUAUUUCUUUGUAAUUUUAAAACACCUCUAGUUCAUUAUCUAAGAUGAAAAAUUCUUUUCAACCUUCGAUUAUUGGUUUCUUUAUGGUCACAGUUCUUCUGUUCGGAGUAAUGACGACUGCUCAAGCUCAAGGACACAGAUUUCCUUGUCGACACAUAUACAGACCGAAAAAUGGAAAAUGUGAUUUGACCAUUUGUUCAGCUGAAUGUACCAAAGAAAGGGGAAGGCUUGGGAUUGGUCGUUGUGUGGGUCCGCAAGAUGAGAUGUGCGCAUGCAUGCAUUAUCAAAGGCAUAGAAAGAAUGAGUGUUUAUUUUGAUUUUUUUUAUCUACAUUGGAACUCAAAUAAUAUUUAUAAUAAUACACGUCUUUAUCACAGGAAAAAUAAUAAUAUUAUUAAUUGUUGUUAGUGUUUGUGGCAUAAUAAAUUGUAUUAUGUUACCAAAUAUAAAUAUAAAUAACAAAUAUUAAUAUGUCGUUCAUCUUUUAACUUUUUUUUUCUUCGGUAGCGUAAAUUAACAAAUAUUAUAUUAUAAUUAGUACUUAUUUCAUAUAAAUUUCAAAGAAAAAAUAAUAAUUUUUUUUAAUUUUUACCAUGUUGGAAUCUCACUGAGAAAAUAACUUUUUUUAUGUUUUUUCUAAUAAAAAUAUUUUAUAUUUUAGUUAGUGAAGGUUUAAAUUUAAAAGUACCGGUUAAUAUCCAACACGAAACUAGUUAAAUCCCAAUGGAAGUACACAAUUAUAUUUUAUCGUAAGACGAAUAAAGUUUUGAGAAAUUUCUUGAAAUACCUUAAGUUGGAUAAAUUAAUAAAAAAAUACAAUUUAUCGAAAAAUAUUAUAAUAUUUGGGUUUUAAAGUUUAGUGAGUAUUGUUUAGAAAUUAUUAUUUAGAGGGUGUGGUUGAGUUUAUAAAUUUUUAUAAAAAAAUUUUAAAACAUUUAUAAAUGAUUCAGGAGAGUUAAUUUUGUUUUAUUUUCAUAAUAAACAUAAGGUAUUUAUUAAAAUGAUUAUCGUUUAAAUGUAAAUUUGAAAAGUAAUAUCAAGGUAAAGUUAGAAUUUCCUCUAAAUUUUUAAUCUAGUGUAUAUAUGAAAACAUGCAUGCCACCUCUUUCAAAAUUGAUUUAUAUGUUACUACUAUAUCAUACAUUGGUUAUUUAAUUUUUAAAUACCCAUCAUAUCUAUAUUAUUAUAUGCAAAGUGAUUUUCCAAAUUUCAGCUCUAAUAUUAAAAGUUAAAGUGAUUAAUAUUGUUUAUAAAUAGUUAUGGAAAACAUAUUAGGUCAAUUAGUUAAUGAAACAUGUGAAAGUACUUAAUUCACAUAAAAGAAGAAAAAAUAUGCAUCAAUAUUAAAUACAAAAAAAAAAAAAACAAAUAGGGCCAUGAUAUUCAUCUCUGUUCACGGGAAUAUCGAUGAUAAAAUAACCACAAGCUCUCCACGCGCAUUAACCUAUGUAUCAAUCGUGUCCAUACACGUGUCAACGAUCCACAGCCUCAUCAUCAUCACCCCCUCCAUCGGUCUUCUUCUUCAUCAUCCUUGUCCACUUUUCUGGCGAAAGCAUCUCAACGGUCAAAAAUGCUUCUCAAGACGGUUUCUUCGUCUUCCGCUGCUCGUGAGUUUCCAUGGCGGAAUCAAGGACGUUUCUCCUCUGCUAUCCUCCGCGAACCAUACACCACCGGAGCUUCUUCCACUUCAGUCUCCGAUCAAUCACCCAGGUGAAACUCUUUCUCUUCGAUUCUCUCUUCUCAGUUCUCGUCGUCUGUAACAGAAUUGCAGAGACGUUGAAUCCGUUAGACGUUUAUAAUCGUCAAAACGGUGUAGCAGAACUAUUGGGCCUGAAGACGUUAUGAUUGGGCUUUUACUGUAACCGGAGUCAAGCCCAAACCCACAGUAGCUCAACUGGCAUGAGCAUUUUUGUAUACAUCAUUUGAUUCAUCCUGUGCACUUCAUGCUUCAGUCUCGGUUUCUAAUUUGUAUCUUUUGGAAUGUUUGUGGUGAUGAUCUUCAGGUACAUGGCAUUUCAAUCAGAUGCUUCUGGAACAGUAAAAUCUGCUUCAUGGGAUUAAGCUCGUGUUUGGUGUUUACUCUCUGAAGCUCACUACCAAUGUAGCUUACUUUGAGUUUGAGUAGAUAAAAAUUGAAUCUUUAGUGAUAUUGAUUAUGAAAAUAAAUGUAUAUAGCGUAAAGUAGCUACAUUUAUGUACAAUGAUUUGAGUUUUUGCUAUUGCAGGAGUUGUAUGUGAACAUUGGGCCUUCAAGAUCCCGAUUCUGUGUUGGGUUCACUCACACGUGAGAUCAAAGAAGUUGGGCCUGAUGGGCAGGAGGUGACUAAAGUUGUACCUGCUGUUACGGAAGAAGUGACAAUCUCUUAUUUUGAAGCUAUAUAUUGUAUUUAAUCUUGUCAGUGACUAAUAACAUAAUUAAACAGGACCAAGGGAUUGAAAUUCUAACGGAAGCCAUAGCAGCUUGCACCGAGACAAUUGAUCAACACAAGGGCAAGCUCGUCGUUAAGGAGGCACCUAGGGCUGUGAGUGAACGAUGCUGACAGAACACAUGGCUAAGCUAAGAAUGGACAAUGAAGAAAUCAGCGGCAAUGAAGAAGAAGAGGAGGACACAGGGAUGGGUGAAGUUGACAUUGAAGGUGCCGGAAUCGUUGAGUAGGAUUCUUCGCUGGUUUCAUAGUUUUCCGACCAACAUGAGUAUUUUUGCUAUAAAGUAGAAAUCUCCAAGAGGUUGUGUGUUUUUUUUUUUCUUUUGUUGUUUUUCACCCGUUGAGGGGUUUAUAUACUCGUAUGUAUGGUUUUAUAAAGUUUUGACUAUUACUGCA